This 268-nucleotide unclassified non-coding RNA is filed under the name uncultured fungus. RNAcentral describes it as "partial contains small subunit ribosomal RNA, internal transcribed spacer 1, and 5.8S ribosomal RNA". The stretch from base 1 to 73 matches the Rfam family "Eukaryotic small subunit ribosomal RNA", at positions 1759 to 1831 of the family's 1831-position model. The record is from RNAcentral. Lineage: Eukaryota; Fungi.
GCAAACUUGGUCAUUUAGAGGAAGUAAAAGUCGUAACAAGGUUUCCGUAGGUGAACCUGCGGAAGGAUCAUUAAAAAAAUUAUAUCCAUCAAUCUACCUCUUGGUGUGCAACUAUUGAAAAUAAGUUAGUCUUUGGGAGAUGGUAAUUUUUCCAUCUCCCAGAGGUAAUUUUUAUUAUUAUGGACUUAAAUGUUGUAUAAUAACAAUAUAAUAUAAAACAACUUUCAACAACGGAUCUCUUGGCUCUCGCAUCGAUGAAGAACGCAGC